ACUUAUAUGGAGGUUCACUUUCUUCCCAUUAAUGUUAGGAUGAUGCUGAAUUAUGGUCCCAGUCGAUGGAAACUAAUCAUCUUCUUAUUGCUCUGUGCUACUGAAGUGGAACUCGACAAGGCACCAGAAUUGUCUCAAGCCAAUGGAAGUAACCAGAAAAAUGUAUAAAGGGAUGAUGCUGAAUUAUGGACCCAAACGAUGGAAAACAAAUCCUCUUCUUAUUGCUCUGUGCUACUGAUGUGGAACUCGACAAGGCACCAUAAUUGCCUCAAGCCAAAGGCAGUACUCAUAAAAAUGUAUAUAGGAAAACGAGUGUUUAAUACUUAAGCUAGCACUACCAAUCUGAUUCAUCAAAUCAAAGCCAUCACAAGGAAGAAGCUAGAUGAUGGAAAAUCAAGACAGGUGAGUCAGUUAUUGUUUCAAAAUCAAGCUCUUCACUCCAGCCUGCACCACAAAGAAGUACACCACGUCUGCCAUAAUUCAAGGAAAACAUAGCUAGCUCUACCAAACUGAUUCAGGAAAAUAGAGCUCUCAAAAAGCAAAAGCUAGAUGAUGCAAAAUCAAGACAAUUCUCUCAACGACAACAACAAAACAAGUCAACAACAGCAACGGAUAAAACCUCUGUGAUGAACAGAAGAGGACGUUGUUUUCAUGACGUCUUCAACUCUCAUCUGAGUUGACGAGAAACUCUACAACCAGAAAAAGAUUCUAUGAAACAGCUCUCUACAAAAAACAACUCAUCACCAGGGAGAAGAAGCUUAAUCGUUGAGGCCAAGACUCCAUGUUGUUCGAACAAGUCAGAUGAUGGAGGUUCAAUUUCUUCUCAUUAAUGUUAGGGAUGAUGCUGAAUUAUCACCCAAAUGGUGGAAAUCCGCUCUUCUUGCACUGUGCUACUGAAGUGGAACUCGACAAGGCACCAGAACUCAAAGCAAGACCCUGUGAACAAAAAGGUACCAGUCAUUGCUUCAUGCCAAUAAUUCCCUUCCACAGUUUUAGAUGGAAUGUGACUGAGAUAUGCCAUGGGUUUGAAGAAUGAAGAAGAUUGUGACUGAGUAACAACAUCAAAUUUUCUAGUUAUAGAUGUCUUUCACUCAAUACGUCUGCAAGAGAGGUUGAUCACAUUGCUUGUGUUGCAUUUGAUUUUGGGAAGCAAAGGUGCGGUAAACUUUGUUCAGUCUUGGAGGGAUCGCUGUUGUUGAGGAAAAUAGUCAUAUCAAUGGCUUCAGAGUAUACUGAGGUUGAAGUGAGUCAUCUCUUGAUUGACACUGCUGUGAUGGAUCUUCUUGUUCGGCACCCAGGACAGGGUUUUUUUCUUUCUGAAAGCCAGUCCAAUCUGGAACACUUUUUCCAGCUCCUCAUAGGUUCUCCCAAUUACCAAAAAUGUGCUUCAGCGAGCUGGAUCAUUGGAAGGGACUGGAAUUUAGCUUACGGGAGAUGCCUAUUGGAAGAGCUGCUCUGGGAGUUCCCUUUCCGGAGGAGACCAUCGCAGCUGCAAAACAUUGGAGGGUACAAGUGGGAUAACAGUGAAAAGCAUUUGAGGCGUGAGAGUUACUUCAGCUUCGUGCAGGUCUUAAAGUCUUUGCAAAUCUGAGACCUGCUACAGUUGUGCCAUAGUUAGUGGAUGCUUCCACCUUGAAGAUAGAGGUAGCAGAAGGUGUUGAUCUUAAAUAUUGUAAAAGAUCUUACAUGAGAGCCAAGGGGCAUAAAGACCAAUGAAAAUGGCGAAGAAGUUGUGUUUAACAGUGAGGUUUAUGCUACCCUCGAGGCCACUAUUUAAUGGAUGGAACGUGUAACAACAAUAGCCUCUGAAACGUGUAACAACACUAGCCUCUGAAUAUGUUGAUGUUGACAAUGCUGCGAUGCAGCUUGUUCGUGACCCCAAACAGUUUACACCAUUGCUACAAACAACAAAUUAGGGGAUAUAUUAUUAUCCGGUGAAGCUUCAAUGAAUGCUGCCAUCUUCUAGUCUCAGUGAUUCGCGACCUGGACUCUUUGAACCUUUACAUGGUUCUGCACCUGAUAUUGCUUGACAGGAUAAGACGAACCAAUUGGCAACCAUUCUCAGCGCUACAAUGCUUCUGAAAUACGGACUUGGAGAAGAAAAGGCAAUAAAGAGGAUUGAAGUUGCAGUGUUGGUUGGUUUCAGAACUGAAGACGUUUACUAUGUGGGAACAGUCUACUACAGCCUUGUGCUGCUGGUCCGAUAGAGCAACCUACAUGCCCAUUUUGUCUUGGUUAUUCAAAUAUAUGCAGAAAUAUAGCUUAGUGUAGCGCUAGAAAGUGUGAGUACAGGGAUGAUUCUGCAUUAUAUGGUGGUUCACUCUUCUUGUUCUGUAAGUCAUUUCCAAAUCCUCUUCUUUUCGACAAGGCACCAGAACUGACUCAAGCCAAAGGCAGUAAUCAGGAAAUUGCAUAAAGGUAAAUGAGUGUUUAAUACUUAGCUAGCACUACCAAUCUGAGUCAUCAAAAUCAAAGCCAUCACAAGGGCAAAGGUAGAUGACAGGUGCGUCAGUUAGUGUUUCAAAAUCAGCAAGUUCUUCACUCCACAACUCCAGCUUUUGCCUGCACCACAAAGAAGUACACCACAUCUGCCAUAAUUCAAGGGAAACAUAGCUACCUCUGCCAAACUGAUUCAGGAAAAUAGAGCUCUCAAAAGGCAAAAGCUAGAUGAUGCAAAAUCAAGACAGGUGAGCCAAAUUGUUCACUCUCUUUCUUCGCAUGUAUUAUUGUAAAGACAGACGACCGCCCCAAGUCAACAACAACAGUGGGAACAAUCCGCUGUAGGAGGGACGAUGAUUUCUUGACUCAGAUUUUUUCAAGGAAGAAGUAGAUUCAGAACACAAAAACGGUCGCUGGCGUGUUCUUACAGUAAAACAACAUCAAACUUGAUUAAAAGGGAAACGAGUGUUAAAAAACGUAGCUAGCACUACCAAUCUGAUUCAGCAAAGGCAACAAGAGAGCCAAAAACAAGUCAGAGGUCGGUGUCUGUGUUCUUGUUCCAACCGGGACCAUGACUCAGAUUUUUACAAGGACGUACGAAGUAGAUUCAGAACAAAAACGGUCGCCGGCGUGUUAUUACAAUAUAGAUCGGAUAUAUGCUUUGGUUUGAAGAUUGAAGAACAUUCUGAACCAAACAAAAGCAAACCUUCGCCCAACGGUAACAACGUCAAACAUAGAGGUGAUGAUCAGAAGAAGACGUUGUUUUCGUGGUAUUUCUUCAGCUCUCAUCUGAUUUGGCCAGAAACUCCACAACGACAAAAAAAAGAUUCUGUGAAACAUCUCUCCACAUAAAACAAAUCAUCACCGGAGGAGAGAAGAAGCUCAGUCGUCGAGGCAAAGACUCUUACUUUUUCCGAACA
Camelina sativa (false flax) is the source of this 3359-nucleotide non-coding RNA. The record is from RefSeq and is a predicted model, not a curated record. Lineage: Eukaryota; Viridiplantae; Streptophyta; Magnoliopsida; Brassicales; Brassicaceae.